RNAcentral lists this ribosomal RNA (449 nucleotides) under uncultured bacterium. RNAcentral describes it as "partial 16S ribosomal RNA". It matches the Rfam family "Bacterial small subunit ribosomal RNA", at positions 29 to 523 of the family's 1533-position model. The record is from RNAcentral.
AACGAACGCUGGCGGCAGGCCUAACACAUGCAAGUCGAACGCUGUAGCAAUACAGAGUGGCGCACGGGUGCGUAACGCGUGGGAAUAUACCCUUGGGUGCGGCACAACGUCGGGAAACUGACGCUAAUACCGCAUAAUGUCUCCGGACCAAAGAUUUAUCGCCUAAGGAUUAGCCCGCGUUGGAUUAGCUAGUUGGUGAGGUAAAGGCUCACCAAGGCUACGAUCCAUAGCUGGUCUGAGAGGAUGAUCAGCCACACUGGGACUGAGACACGGCCCAGACUCCGACGGGAGGCAGCAGUGAGGAAUAUUGGACAAUGGGGGCAACCCUGAUCCGGCCAUGCCGCGUGAGUGAUGAAGGCCUUCGGGUUGUAAAGCUCUUUUAGAUGUGACGAUGAUGACGGUAACAUCAGAAAAAGCCCCGGCUAACUUCGUGCCAGCCGCCGCGGUAA